RNAcentral lists this ribosomal RNA (461 nucleotides) under uncultured beta proteobacterium. Its description in RNAcentral is "bacterial SSU rRNA". It matches the Rfam family "Bacterial small subunit ribosomal RNA", at positions 200 to 642 of the family's 1533-position model. The record is from RNAcentral. Lineage: Bacteria; Pseudomonadati; Pseudomonadota; Betaproteobacteria.
AGGAAAGCAGGGGAUCGCAAGACCUUGCGCUCUUGGAGCGGCCGAUGUCUGAUUAGCUAGUUGGUGAGGUAAAGGCUUACCAAGGCGACGAUCAGUAGCUGGUCUGAGAGGACGACCAGCCACACUGGGACUGAGACACGGCCCAGACUCCUACGGGAGGCAGCAGUGGGGAAUUUUGGACAAUGGGGGAAACCCUGAUCCAGCCAUGCCGCGUGAGUGAAGAAGGCCUUCGGGUUGUAAAGCUCUUUCAGCCGGAACGAAACGGUCACGGCUAAUACCUGUGAUCACUGACGGUACCGGAAGAAGAAGCACCGGCUAACUACGUGCCAGCAGCCGCGGUAAUACGUAGGGUGCAAGCGUUAAUCGGAAUUACUGGGCGUAAAGCGUGCGCAGGCGGUUUUGUAAGUCAGAUGUGAAAUCCCCGGGCUUAACCUGGGAACUGCGUNUGAAACUACAAAGCU